AGGGUUGUAGUUUAUUUAUAAUAACAUUUGAUUUGCAUUCAAAAAAUAUUGAUUCAUUCAAUCUUC
RNAcentral lists this transfer RNA (66 nucleotides) under Phaonia errans. Its description in RNAcentral is "tRNA-Ala". It matches the Rfam family "tRNA". From Rfam's summary of the family: Transfer RNA (tRNA) molecules are approximately 80 nucleotides in length. Their secondary structure includes four short double-helical elements and three loops (D, anti-codon, and T loops). Lineage: Eukaryota; Metazoa; Arthropoda; Insecta; Diptera; Muscidae. The record is from RNAcentral.